Molecule: ribosomal RNA, 465 nt
Filed under: uncultured bacterium
Lineage: Bacteria
Description: partial 16S ribosomal RNA
Rfam family: Bacterial small subunit ribosomal RNA
Source: RNAcentral
GACGAACGCUGGCGGCGUGCUUAACACAUGCAAGUCGAACGGAAAGGCCCUGCUUGCAGGGUACUCGAGUGGCGAACGGGUGAGUAACACGUGGGUGAUCUGCCCUGCACUUCGGGAUAAGCCUGGGAAACUGGGUCUAAUACCGGAUAGGAGCCAUUUUUAGUGUGAUGGUUGGAAAGUUUUUUCGGUGUAGGAUGAGCUCGCGGCCUAUCAGCUUGUUGGUGGGGUAAUGGCCUACCAAGGCGGCGACGGGUAGCCGGCCUGAGAGGGUGGACGGCCACACUGGGACUGAGAUACGGCCCAGACUCCUACGGGAGGCAGCAGUGGGGAAUAUUGCACAAUGGGCGCAAGCCUGAUGCAGCGACGCCGCGUGGGGGAUGACGGCCUUCGGGUUGUAAACUCCUUUCGCUAGGGACGAAGCUUUUUGUGACGGUACCUAGAUAAGAAGCACCGGCUAACUACGUG